This is a non-coding RNA of Eublepharis macularius, 136 nucleotides long. RefSeq annotates it as small Cajal body-specific RNA 24. The record is from RefSeq and is a predicted model, not a curated record. The transcript has a single exon. Lineage: Eukaryota; Metazoa; Chordata; Lepidosauria; Squamata; Eublepharidae.
UGGAUGCUUAAAAAAAAUUCAGUGUCUCCUUUCAAUGGAGAUAGCUGGGGGAAAAAAGUAUCCUAUAGUAACAAAGGAGCUUUCUGUUCAACUCUGGAUAGUGUCACAGAGCUGAAUCGUUCCACUUCUGACAAAU